GCCAGGUGCAGUGGUGCAUGCCUAUAAUCCCAGCAGCUCGGGAGGCUGAGACACGAGGAUCGCGAGUUCAAAGCUGGGCUUCAGCAAUUUAGCAAGGAGUGCCCAAGAAAUUUUGUGAGAUCCUGUCUCUA
RNAcentral lists this small RNA (131 nucleotides) under Marmota monax (woodchuck). The record is from RNAcentral. Lineage: Eukaryota; Metazoa; Chordata; Mammalia; Rodentia; Sciuridae.